GGUCCCGUAGUGUAGUGGUUAACAUGCCUGCCUGUCACGCAGGAGAUCGCGGGUUCGAGUCCCGUCGGGACUGCCA
This 76-nucleotide transfer RNA is filed under the name Anoxybacteroides voinovskiense. RNAcentral's name for it is "Anoxybacillus voinovskiensis tRNA-Asp". It matches the Rfam family "tRNA". Rfam says of the family: Transfer RNA (tRNA) molecules are approximately 80 nucleotides in length. The record is from RNAcentral. Lineage: Bacteria; Bacillati; Bacillota; Bacilli; Caryophanales; Anoxybacillaceae.